Molecule: ribosomal RNA, 92 nt
Filed under: Oxytropis pilosa
Lineage: Eukaryota; Viridiplantae; Streptophyta; Magnoliopsida; Fabales; Fabaceae
Also listed under: 1 other name
Description: partial 26S ribosomal RNA
Rfam family: Eukaryotic large subunit ribosomal RNA
Source: RNAcentral
CGAGACCUCAGGUCAGGCGGGGCUACCCGCUGAGUUUAAGCAUAUCAAUAAUGCGGAGGAAAAGAAACUAACAAGGAUUCCCUUAGUAACGG